Molecule: ribosomal RNA, 424 nt
Filed under: uncultured bacterium
Lineage: Bacteria
Description: bacterial SSU rRNA
Rfam family: Bacterial small subunit ribosomal RNA
Source: RNAcentral
AAGACCUUUGCGCUUUUGGAGCGGCCGAUGCCUGAUUAGCUUGUUGGUAAGGUAAAAGCUUACCAAGGCUUCGAUCAGUAGCUGGUCUGAGAGGACGGCCAGCCACACUGGGACUGAGACACGGCCCAGACUCCUACGGGAGGCAGCAGUGGGGAAUUUUGGACAAUGGAGGCAACCCUGAUCCAGCCAUGCCGCGUGAGUGAAGAAGGCCUUCGGGUUGUAAAGCUCUUUCAGCCGGAACGAAACGGUUACGGUUAAUACCCGUGAUUACUGACGGUACCGGAAGAAGAAGCACCGGCUAACUACGUGCCAGCAGCCGCGGUAAUACGUAGGGUGCGAGCGUUAAUCGGAAUUACUGGGCGUAAAGCGUGCGCAGGUGGUUUUGUAAGUCAGAUGUGAAAGCCCCGGGCUCAACCUGGGAACU